CGCAUUCACCCGGGGGGUCCCGUCAAGGGGCUGAGAUUCUGAUAGCCGGUCCGGCAGGUCCGUGCAGCGCAGUGACCCGAUGAACCUGAUCCAGUUCAUACUGGCGUAGGGAUGGUGUACCCGCUGCGGC
Molecule: non-coding RNA, 130 nt
Organism: Aurantimonas sp.
Lineage: Bacteria; Pseudomonadati; Pseudomonadota; Alphaproteobacteria; Hyphomicrobiales; Aurantimonadaceae
Source: Rfam